UACGGAGGGUGCAAGCGUUAUCCGGAUUCACUGGGUUUAAAGGGUGUGUAGGCGGGUAAUUAAGUCAGUGGUGAAAUCUCCAGGCUCAACCUGGAAACUGCCAUUGAUACUAUUUAUCUUGAAUCUUGUUGAGGUGGACGGAAUAUGUCAUGUAGCGGUGAAAUGCAUAGAUAUGACAUAGAACACCAAUUGCGAAGGCAGUUCACUAAACAAGUAUUGACGCUGAGGCACGAAAGCGUGGGGAUCAAACAGG
Molecule: ribosomal RNA, 253 nt
Filed under: uncultured bacterium
Lineage: Bacteria
Description: partial 16S ribosomal RNA
Rfam family: Bacterial small subunit ribosomal RNA
Source: RNAcentral